GCAAGUCUGGUGCCAGCAGCCGCGGUAAUUCCAGCUCCAAUAGCGUAUAUUAAAGUUGUUGCAGUUAAAAAGCUCGUAGUUGAACCUUGGGCCUGGCUGGCCGGUCCGCCUCACCGCGUGUACUGGUCCGGCCGGGCCUUUCCUUCUGGGGAGCCGCAUGCCCUUCACUGGGCGUGUCGGGGAACCAGGACUUUUACUUUGAAAAAAUUAGAGUGUUCAAAGCAGGCCUUUGCUCGAAUACAUUAGCAUGGAAUAAUAGAAUAGGACGUGCGGUUCUAUUUUGUUGGUUUCUAGGACCGCCGUAAUGAUUAAUAGGGAUAGUCGGGGGCAUCAGUAUUCAAUUGUCAGAGGUGAAAUUCUUGGAUUUAUUGAAGACUAACUACUGCGAAAGCAUUUGCCAA
RNAcentral lists this ribosomal RNA (401 nucleotides) under uncultured fungus. RNAcentral describes it as "SSU rRNA". It matches the Rfam family "Eukaryotic small subunit ribosomal RNA", at positions 555 to 961 of the family's 1831-position model. The record is from RNAcentral. Lineage: Eukaryota; Fungi.